AUUCCAGCUCCAAUAGCGUAUAUUAAAGUUGUUGCAGUUAAAAAGCUCGUAGUCGGAUUUUGGCAUCACGCCGAACUGUCUGCCGAUUGGUAAGUACGGUUUGGCGGGUGCUUCCUUCCGGAGGCUCGUUCCCUUCUUCAUUGAAGGGUUCGUUGGUUCCGGGUCUUUUACUUUGAGAAAAUUAGAGUGUUCAAAGCAGGCCUAUGCUCUGAAUAGGUUAGCAUGGAAUAAUAGAAUAGGACUCUGGUGCUAUUCUGUUGGUUUCGAACACCGGAGUAAUGAUUAACAGGGACAGUCAGGGGCACUCGUAUUCCGCCGAGAGAGGUGAAAUUCUCAGACCAGCGGAAGACGAACCACUGCGAAAGCAUUUGCCAGGGAUGUUUUCAUCG
RNAcentral lists this ribosomal RNA (389 nucleotides) under Hacrobia sp. RNAcentral describes it as "partial small subunit ribosomal RNA". It matches the Rfam family "Eukaryotic small subunit ribosomal RNA", at positions 582 to 975 of the family's 1831-position model. The record is from RNAcentral.